RNAcentral lists this ribosomal RNA (592 nucleotides) under Pseudomonas sp. Air367. Its description in RNAcentral is "bacterial SSU rRNA". It matches the Rfam family "Bacterial small subunit ribosomal RNA", at positions 112 to 700 of the family's 1533-position model. Lineage: Bacteria; Pseudomonadati; Pseudomonadota; Gammaproteobacteria; Pseudomonadales; Pseudomonadaceae. The record is from RNAcentral.
AAUGCCUAGGAAUCUGCCUGGUAGUGGGGGACAACGUUUCGAAAGGAACGCUAAUACCGCAUACGUCCUACGGGAGAAAGCAGGGGACCUUCGGGCCUUGCGCUAUCAGAUGAGCCUAGGUCGGAUUAGCUAGUUGGUGAGGUAAUGGCUCACCAAGGCGACGAUCCGUAACUGGUCUGAGAGGAUGAUCAGUCACACUGGAACUGAGACACGGUCCAGACUCCUACGGGAGGCAGCAGUGGGGAAUAUUGGACAAUGGGCGAAAGCCUGAUCCAGCCAUGCCGCGUGUGUGAAGAAGGUCUUCGGAUUGUAAAGCACUUUAAGUUGGGAGGAAGGGUUGUAGAUUAAUACUCUGCAAUUUUGACGUUACCGACAGAAUAAGCACCGGCUAACUCUGUGCCAGCAGCCGCGGUAAUACAGAGGGUGCAAGCGUUAAUCGGAAUUACUGGGCGUAAAGCGCGCGUAGGUGGUUUGUUAAGUUGGAUGUGAAAUCCCCGGGCUCAACCUGGGAACUGCAUCCAAAACUGGCAAGCUAGAGUAUGGUAGAGGGUGGUGGAAUUUCCUGUGUAGCGGUGAAAUGCGUAGAUAUAGG